GAGUUUGAUCGUGGCUCAGGAUGAACGCUGGCGGCGUGCUUAACACAUGCAAGUCGAACGAAGCAUUUAGGAUUGAAGUUUUCGGAUGGAUUUCCUAUAUGACUGAGUGGCGGACGGGUGAGUAACGCGUGGGGAACCUGCCCUAUACAGGGGGAUAACAGCUGGAAACGGCUGCUAAUACCGCAUAAGCGCACAGAAUCGCAUGAUUCAGUGUGAAAAGCCCUGGCAGUAUAGGAUGGUCCCGCGUCUGAUUAGCUGGUUGGUGAGGUAACGGCUCACCAAGGCGACGAUCAGUAGCCGGCUUGAGAGAGUGAACGGCCACAUUGGGACUGAGACACGGCCCAAACUCCUACGGGAGGCAGCAGUGGGGAAUAUUGCACAAUGGGGGAAACCCUGAUGCAGCGACGCCGCGUGAGUGAAGAAGUA
Molecule: ribosomal RNA, 426 nt
Filed under: uncultured bacterium
Lineage: Bacteria
Description: bacterial SSU rRNA
Rfam family: Bacterial small subunit ribosomal RNA
Source: RNAcentral